This is a long non-coding RNA of Oncorhynchus keta (chum salmon), 546 nucleotides long. RefSeq lists it as uncharacterized. The record is from RefSeq and is a predicted model, not a curated record. The transcript is spliced from 3 exons. Lineage: Eukaryota; Metazoa; Chordata; Actinopteri; Salmoniformes; Salmonidae.
CAUCAUGACUCCCUAGUCUUCAGCAGGGUUAGACAACCAGGUGAGGGCAGUUCCUUACUAAUUAGUAAACUAGACAACCAGGUGAGGAGAGUUCCUUACUAAUUAGUAACCUAGACAACCAGGUGAAGGGAGUUGCUUACUAAUUAGUAACCUAGACAACCAGGUGAAGGGAGUUGUUUACUAAUUAGUAACCUAGACAACCAGGUGAGGGGAGUUCCUUACUAAUUAGUUACCUAGACAACCAGGUGAAGGGAGUUGCUUACUAAUUAGUAACCUAGACAACCAGGUGAGGGGAGUUCCUUACUAAUAAGUUACCUAGACAACCAGGUGAAGGUAGUUGCUUACUAAUCAGUAACCUAGACAACCAGGUGAGGAGAGUUCCUUACUAAUUAGUUACCUAGACAACCAGGUGAAGGUAGUUGCUUACUAAUCAGUAACCUAGACAACCAGGUGAGGAGAGUUCCUUACUAAUUAGUUACCUAGACAACCAGGUGAAGGUAGUUGCUUACUAAUCAGUAACCUAGACAACCAGGUGAGGAGAGUUCC